AGGGAUGACAAGAUUUUGUGAACCAGAGGCACCUCCACAUAAGCACCUGCGGCACUUCUGCAGCCUCAACAGCACGGCAAUGUACCUGAUGUGCAUGCUGUGACAAGCUGCUAUAGGUAUGGCUGGACCUGGAGAAGGAGUGUAAGCAGACCAUGCUAUGUUGCUGAUCUGCACUGAUCUCCACAUCCAAGUUGGUCCCGCGACAGUUGGGCGCCACUGUGCCUUGCUUCAUUGACAAGGUGAUAUAAUAUGGUGCCCUGCUCGCUCUCACCCAAGCAACCCACUCCAGCGGUCUUCUCUCGGCAGACUGGAUGCAUCGAAAUACCGUUAGAAGGUCCCCUAAACAUUGCUUGGGACAUUUAUGACAUGCUUUUAUUUAAGCCGGAGGAUUUCAGGCUUAAUGAAAGUUCAAGUGGGUGUACAGAAAUACCUACGUAAAGUAUACUUGUCUUUUUCACUUACAAGUACAUACCAAUACUUUGCCUGACAUUUUUCACCCCAAAAUUACGCUUUACUUUGGAUUUGUGAACAAACCAUUACAGCAAAAAGCACUGCAUUAAGACGAGUACAAGUAAUCGAACAUAUACUAAACUUGCAAGAAUUACAUUUGCAUACUUGUAGUAAAUAUGAAAAUGAGGUACAA
Molecule: non-coding RNA, 643 nt
Organism: Dermacentor albipictus
Lineage: Eukaryota; Metazoa; Arthropoda; Arachnida; Ixodida; Ixodidae
Source: RefSeq, a predicted model, not a curated record